Molecule: small RNA, 324 nt
Filed under: Histoplasma capsulatum var. duboisii H88
Lineage: Eukaryota; Fungi; Ascomycota; Eurotiomycetes; Onygenales; Ajellomycetaceae
Description: Histoplasma capsulatum H88 hypothetical RNA
Source: RNAcentral
UAACCUUCCUGCUAUAAUGAAUUAGUUGCGCCGUAUUGCACUAGAUGAUUAACUGGCCAGCUUAAAAUGAAUCGAUUUCGUGAACCCCCUGGAAUUAUUACACCUUCCUCCCGCGGGUGAUAAUACCAUUAUGCUGCUAUCCCGCUCUGCCUUUCGAAACGAAGCUGUCAGCAACAGGACAAAGCUGUUCAAAAUGAACCGAAUUGCCUAGGCGGAUCGUUCGGCAAAACAAGGUCCAAAUGGGUCUGGAUUUUAAGAUUAUGAGAAGGGUUUUUGCCGAUUGCUCGACAAAUUUGCCUUCCUGCCAACUUCUUCCCAGCACAG